GCACCCAUAGCUCAGCUGGAUAGAGUGUUGCCCUCCGAAGGCAAAGGUCGUACGUUCGAAUCGUACUGGGUGCGCCA
RNAcentral lists this transfer RNA (77 nucleotides) under Labrys sp. KNU-23. Its description in RNAcentral is "tRNA-Arg". It matches the Rfam family "tRNA". Rfam says of the family: Transfer RNA (tRNA) molecules are approximately 80 nucleotides in length. Their secondary structure includes four short double-helical elements and three loops (D, anti-codon, and T loops). The record is from RNAcentral. RNAcentral also lists the same sequence under 4 other names. Lineage: Bacteria; Pseudomonadati; Pseudomonadota; Alphaproteobacteria; Hyphomicrobiales; Xanthobacteraceae.